Non-coding RNA from Xyrichtys novacula (pearly razorfish), 238 nucleotides. Lineage: Eukaryota; Metazoa; Chordata; Actinopteri; Labriformes; Labridae. The record is from the annotation of a GenBank genome assembly.
ACAGAACAUAAUUUUUCUCCCCCCCUGCUUGUGAUGUUGACAUGUAGUUACAGUAAGACUGGUUUGUGCUCAAGUCCUCUUUUUUUCUGUGAAGCUCCGUUUUUAAAAGUUAUUAGGGGGUUCAUGUUUUCUAUGAUUGACACCUGAUACAGCCUAUUGGCGUUCAGGGAUUGCGUAGCUCUCCCAGGGGAUACGCUGUUUGAGCCGAGCGUCAUCACAGCGACUCUCGGCGACUGCG